GCUGGGCAUGGUGGCACAUGCCUGUAAUUCCAGUGACUUGGAAGGCUGAGGCAGGAGGAUCUCAAGUUCGAAGCCAGCCUCAGCAAAAGCAAGGUGCUAAGCAACUCAGUGAGACCCUGUCUCUA
RNAcentral lists this small RNA (125 nucleotides) under Marmota monax (woodchuck). The record is from RNAcentral. Lineage: Eukaryota; Metazoa; Chordata; Mammalia; Rodentia; Sciuridae.